CUUGUUAAAAUCUUUAAUUAACAAGAGUGGUUUCAGAAGUACUAGGCAUUGUUUCUUGGCUAUUUGAGCAGACACCUUUAAUGAGAAUAACUUUUUCUUUGCAUAUGUGGCAAAUGAGUGUAGUUGCAGAGUUGUUGAUGGGGAUGUGGUUACUCAAGGGUGUCAAUUUUCUUUAAAGGAUGUCGAGGUGUUGGUUGGUGAAGCUAAUCUGGAUGCAGUAAGAUCAGUUAGGAACAUCGUUAACCUGGAUCAGGCACAGGAUUGAAUGUGAAAGCCAUAGACUCACAAUUGAGGAUCCUGUAACUAUUUGUGCAUUGCUUGAGGUACACUAUUCCGAUCAGUUGGGCAACUCAGUUCAUCUUUUUGCUGGUUUUAGCUUAUUUCAUUGUUUGUAGGUUGAUUUCCACCGAUUGUAAGAAAAAACAUCUUAAAGAACUUAAAAUGGUGUGAAUACAGUAGUUGUGUAGAGCUUUUUGCGGUUUUGACCAAAGUGUCAGCUUGAUUCACAUGUGAAUUGAGUUAAUUAUUGUACAACAAA
Long non-coding RNA from Papaver somniferum (opium poppy), 538 nucleotides. RefSeq lists it as uncharacterized. The record is from RefSeq and is a predicted model, not a curated record. The transcript is spliced from 3 exons. Lineage: Eukaryota; Viridiplantae; Streptophyta; Magnoliopsida; Ranunculales; Papaveraceae.